UCAGAUCCUCGUGACCUCGCGCUAGACGUAGCAAUACAAACAAACAUGGUAUAGACAAAAUUAACAUCACACCACAGAUAAGAACAAAAUGUAUAACAAUGAUCUACACGUUGCUACGAGAUCACGGGAUCGAGAACUACUAAGAUCGGAGUCACGAUUAAAGAGUUAUGAUUUUAUAGAAGAUCUGUGUGAUUAAAAUAUUAAAAUAUAUUAUAAAUUGGUUAAUAUAAAUCAUAUGAGAGAUUAUUCUAUGAAUAAUUACCUCAAAUUUAAUCUAAGUUAUAAAUUGACCAUAGAUCAUAUUCUAGUAAAUUAUAAUGAUAAGCAGUUUAACAAGACUAACCAACAUAAGUUAAAUAAAGAUCUAAUCAUAAAAUAAUGAGACAUGGUAUAAUAAAUGUUGUUAUGGCAUAGUAAAUAUUCAUAUGAAGCUAACGCAACUGGAACAGUUCAAUUCGGAGUUAUGGAUUUUAAGUUAUGAAUUUCUAAAGAUUCUUUGUGUUUUGUACAAGAUUAAAUAGGAUAUUAAUUUUAAUGUGACUUUCAUGUCAAAACAGUGGUACUAAAUGAUAAACAAUAAUAUUACAAAAUUAUAUGAACUAGAAUGAAUUAAUUUGAAGUUAAAAUGAAUUAAAUAUGAUUUAUAUAAGUUUCUGGAAUUAUUUUUGUACUAAAAAUCAACUUCUAUAAAUAUUUAUCUGAUUUUCUCUGUUCUCUGGGCUGAACACAAAAUACAGAGAAACUCGGGGGUAAAUCCAUAAAAGUCCCCCAGACACAGAAAGCCCCCGAGCAGUACCGCGGGUUAAUUUCGUAAUCUCUGGAAGGCUCUUUAGCAAAUAUUCCUCGCAAAGGGGUAUGGUUGGAUCUCGUCCAUUGGAUCAGAUCCGAGGGCCGAGAAUAGAUCGCGAAGGGGGUAUGGAACAGGGAUAGUGGGAUCACAGGUCGACGGCCACGAUCAACAUACGUGAAUCCUUAAUCCCUUUCCCAUUAGACCGUCCAUGUCGAGAUCAACGGCCCCUGAGCAUCUUCUCCCCAACCCUAAUCCUAGCUGCCCUUUGCCCGAUCUACGGUCCCUAUCCACUACCCGAAGUUGUACGCCCAUUAUCUAAUCACCACCGUACAUUAAUCAAUGAACGGCACCCACUUCAUCUCCUUCCUUCUGCCGGCGCGGUCAGCGGAACAGAGACCUCCACGGUGGCGCAGCACGCCGGCAACCAGUGAUCUAGGAUUCUAGUGCGUCUUCUUUAAUCCCAGCUAGUGCUACGCGAAGCUGAGUGAACACCGAGGAUAGGGGCGGGUACAUACCGAUGGUUAGACAACGUAGAAGCUCGUUCACCAAGGCGCGACGGCUCGAUCGUGAGCACCGGAGUCGGACGACAAAGUCCCGGUCACCCGCACGAGUCCCCACCUCCAGGUGCACCAAAUCGCCGGCUAACGACGCGCCCAGACCCCGCGAAUUAUUCGCAGACGUCGAACGACCAUGGAAAGCGAAGAACAGCGUUGGCAGCGUACUUUCCUCUCCCCUAUUCUCUGUUGGCGGCGCGGGUGGGUGAACACGCUACGAAGCUCGCUCCAACAGAUGGAAGAAGAGGACGCCAGACACAACUACUUAAAGGCCCAAGGUCAGGGACCCCGAGGAGCUAGCACAGGGUACCCGCACGAUCCGACACGGUGGUUCAUGGCGGAGUUCGCGGCUAGGAAAUCGGCGAUGCCGUUCGCCCGACUGCGC
RNAcentral lists this long non-coding RNA (1729 nucleotides) under Zea mays. RNAcentral's name for it is "long non-coding RNA (ZMAY_LNC000557)". The record is from RNAcentral. Lineage: Eukaryota; Viridiplantae; Streptophyta; Magnoliopsida; Poales; Poaceae.